AUGGACAAACCAAGGCCCACCGGCGACCAUGCACUCAGAGCACCGACGCCGCCCAACGCAGCUCCGGCGAUGUCCAAGAUCACCGUGGACGCGUCCCUCGCGGGCGCUGUCAUCGGGCGGGGCGGAGCGACCAUCAGGGAGAUAUCCCGGGCCAGCGGCGCCAGGCUGCGCAUCCGCGACCACGAGCGGGACGCCGGCUUGAAGAACGUGGAGCUGGAGGGCACGCCCGAUCAGAUCAGGCACGCCAGCGCUAUGGUCUGGGAGCAUCUCCCGGUGCUCGGCGGAGGGCGAUAUAACGGCGUCAAGACCAGGCUGUGCGCGCACUUUGCCAGAGGAUCCUGCACGUAUGGCGACGGCUGCCGCUUUGCCCACAGCGAGAGCGAGCUACGCAGGCCGGCUCCUGCUCCUCGAGAUCCGUGUGGUUGGUAG
This 429-nucleotide ribosomal RNA is filed under the name Triticum aestivum (bread wheat). RNAcentral describes it as "partial small subunit ribosomal RNA". The record is from RNAcentral. Lineage: Eukaryota; Viridiplantae; Streptophyta; Magnoliopsida; Poales; Poaceae.